Molecule: non-coding RNA, 222 nt
Organism: Caenorhabditis elegans
Lineage: Eukaryota; Metazoa; Nematoda; Chromadorea; Rhabditida; Rhabditidae
Source: Ensembl
ACUUGUACCUUUGGAAGGAUGCGCGCGUUCGCUUCUCGCCUCUGAGGGUCAACUUGGAUAGAGCAAUAUAAACCAGUAAGACGCAGGCCAUAAGCCCAAAGUUGCUCAAGCAGACGACGGAGAACAUAAUGCCCAAAGACGGGUGUCAGGCUAGGAGGAACGCCCUCUGUUUCCUUUUGGAAAGGAUAGAUUACCGGAGUCUAGAGGGCAUCAUCUUCUGCU